GGGUUGUGAGGUUAAGCGACUAAGCGUACACGGUGGAUGCCCUGGCAGUCAGAGGCGAUGAAGGACGUGCUAAUCUGCGAUAAGCGUCGGUAAGGUGAUAUGAACCGUUAUAGCCGGCGAUUUCCGAAUGGGGAAACCCAGUGUGUUUCGACACACUAUC
Molecule: ribosomal RNA, 160 nt
Filed under: Citrobacter sp. wls829
Lineage: Bacteria; Pseudomonadati; Pseudomonadota; Gammaproteobacteria; Enterobacterales; Enterobacteriaceae
Also listed under: 1 other name
Description: partial 23S ribosomal RNA
Rfam family: Bacterial large subunit ribosomal RNA
Source: RNAcentral